Molecule: long non-coding RNA, 992 nt
Organism: Lotus japonicus
Lineage: Eukaryota; Viridiplantae; Streptophyta; Magnoliopsida; Fabales; Fabaceae
Exons: 2
Source: RefSeq, a predicted model, not a curated record
CAAGUUUAAAUCUUAUAUGUUUGUGUUCAUACUGCUUCUGCUGCUUAUAUAUGUGUGUAUAUCAUGUAUAUUUAGAUAUAUGCUGUUUGAUUUGGUGCUUUAAUUCAGACACGUACGUGUAAAGAGCUUAACACAACACCAAAUCUUUCAUGCUGAUUAAUAUUCCUUCUGCUCAACCCUUUUCCACUUAUUUCCUUUUCAUCUUAUUCUGCUUCUGCUCUCUUUGUGAUUAGUUACCUCAGAUCCCGAGUCAUAGAAGUUUAAUAUACACCGCAAGUUAAAGUUGAAGCUAGCUUUUGGAUCCUUCAAAACCUGAAAUUGAGACAUCGGUCCAAACCGAACAUUUUUAUCCAACACUUGCCCUAGGAAAAGAGUUAAAUAUACAAGAAACCUACAUAAUUGUUGAGCCAGGCACUUACCUUGAUCUUGCUGUGGUUGUUGGAAUGGUUCAUUCUGGGUUGAGCUGGAAUGAGACGUGGUUAAAGCUUGUUCAUGCAUUUGAAGUGGGUUAUUGUUGGUGGUGCCGCCACCAAUGACUUGCGUGAGAGCUGAAACCAUGGCCGACAUGUCUUGCAGGGACCUUUCAGAAUAUAUUGGAAACAAAUUUUCAUCUUCUUCAGAAGAACGUGUCCUUCUAUCCAUUUCUUUGAUCCACUUUAGAAACUAAUUAUUGAUGCAUAUAAAUAUAUUGUUAUAUGGAUAUUUGUUCCAAGAUUAGUUGGAUCUAACAUGCUAAUUGCUAUGUGUUGUUUGGAUCGACCUCUACCAAAUGUGAAGGAGAAGAAAGGAAGAUAAGAGAGGGGGAGAAGCUAAGGUUUUGGUUCAAUGAAUUUAUAAGGGUGAACGGUUUUGGUGUUGAAGUGUGAAAACAAAGAGGACAGUGGAAUAAACAGCACCCACCGCCGAAAAAUUAAAAGUCCUUCUGUUCUUUGCUUGCUCAAGAAUUCUUCGAUGCAGUGCAAGAAAUUAAAACAAGAAUUGUGUUAGUAGCA